ACAUGUCAAAAGAAUGCAAGGCUCUUUGUCCAAACCAAGAGAAGCAGGGUCCUGGAGUGGGUGAGCAGAAGGAAAAAUGCAAAGCACACCUUGCAAUGUCAGCUAAACCCUCACCAUUGGAAUGGCAGGACCUGAAUAUAGUUUGAGACCAGCCUGACCUACACAGUGAAACCCUGUCUAUUAAAAAUACACACACCAAAAAACAAUUAGCUGGGCAUGGUGGCAGGUGCCUGUAAUCUCAGCUACUCGGGAGGCUGAGGCAGGAGAAUCACUUG
This 275-nucleotide long non-coding RNA is filed under the name Pan troglodytes (chimpanzee). RNAcentral describes it as "long non-coding RNA NONPTRT016930". Lineage: Eukaryota; Metazoa; Chordata; Mammalia; Primates; Hominidae. The record is from RNAcentral.